RNAcentral lists this ribosomal RNA (253 nucleotides) under uncultured bacterium. Its description in RNAcentral is "partial 16S ribosomal RNA". It matches the Rfam family "Bacterial small subunit ribosomal RNA", at positions 524 to 776 of the family's 1533-position model. The record is from RNAcentral.
UACGUAGGGCGCAAGCGUUGUCCGGAAUUAUUGGGCGUAAAGAGCUCGUAGGCGGUCUGUCGCGUCUGUUGUGAAAACUCGAGGCUCAACCUCGGGCUUGCAGUGGAUACGGGCAGACUAGAGUGCGGUAGGGGAGACUGGAAUUCCUGGUGUAGCGGUGGAAUGCGCAGAUAUCAGGAGGAACACCGAUGGCGAAGGCGGGUCUCUGGGCCGUAACUGACGCUGAGGAGCGAAAGCAUGGGGAGCGAACAGG